UCGCCCGGCGCCGCCGCCCGCAACUCCGCGCAACUCGCGUCCCUUGCCAGGAGUUCACUCAGGAGAGGGAUGCUCGCUUGUUUGGGCGUCCUUAGUAAAUAUGUUCCGAGCUAGUUGUUGGGUGCUAGCGCUGACACCAUUCCUGAGUGUGGGAAUUAAAUAGUUUCAAAUUUCUUCAAAGAUACACUAUUGGGCUUAAACAAUUUGGAGAAGAAGAUUUAAAGAUGUGCCAUCAAAUUGUUUCCAGGCAAAAAUUUGCUUUGCUUUGCUUCCCAUUAUUCUGAAUAAUUUAUAGGUAUGCUAUUGUUGUGAGCAUGGAGAAACUCUUCUCCAUAAUUUUGGUAUCUCCAUUGGAUAGCACUCUUACAGUGGAUUAUGUGAUUGUACUUACUAGUUACAGGUUUCUUUCCUCUUUUGGUUCUUGUAGAGCAUUGUCUGUGGGUAGAAGGACUGGAGGGAGCAGUUGUAGGAUCUGAAGUAAAUGGUCUUGCUAAGAACAGAGUAGUGGAUGCUCUUUUUCAAGUUCAAAUACAGUGAUAAAUCUGUUUCAUAAAGAAUAAAAUGUGAUAAAUCUGCUUCAUAAUGAAUUGAAUGUAUUUACUUCUUUGGCUGGAUGGGAUAACCAACAAAAAAGGUAGUUUAAAGCUGUGCAAAAUAGGUUAGGCUUACAUUAUGUUGUCUUGAUUCUUAAACUAGAUAAAGGGGUUUUCUGUGAACAUUCACAAGUUUGUGGGACAGCCUGCCAUAGUAUUAGCCUUCCCCAUCUCACUAAUACUUGAAUGUCUGACAACUUGUUUUAGAUUUGUCCUCUGUCUUGAGGUAGGGCAGUGUCAUCAUCAUUAACCCCAUUCCUUAGAGAAUUGAAUCAGAGAACGCUCUCACUGAAAUUUGCUUCUCAGUAGGUGUUGUGCUUGGGAAUGAAGAGGAGGAUUUGGUUGGCAAAAAUUUAGUCCAGACUGUCAAAGCACAGACUCUGAAGAAGCCUUGUAUUCCUGUGGAAACUGCAGCAAAGGUCCUGAUGUCAGAUACUUAUGAGAGUGUUGAAGUCACUGAGGUCUCUGAUAUGCAGAAACCUAUCAUGUGCAUGUAUGCUUGAGGAUUUUGCCUAAAAGGGUGUAAUACAUAUCUCUGAAGAUGUCUAGAAACAAACACCUAUUGAAAUAUACUGGAGUUGGUAUGUCGGGUUUAAUCCAGUGCUGUUGUUUCUGGACCUUCAAGACAUUUUGACUUGGUGUGAUUUAUUUUUUCAGUGAAGAAUUUACAGUCUCUUGGAAGUCUUACACGCACAUCCUUAACUUUAGUGUGGUGGUGUUUUUAACUCCAGUUAAUUGUGCUGCUGCUGUGCAACAUCAGUUAAUACAACUCAUCAGUUGCUAACCUUUAUUGGCCUCGCUGCUAAGUAGGAUGACUUCUUUUGCUUGAGCUAAGCAGUCUGUAGGAGUCUUUGCCAGUGUUGCUGUAGCUCACUUUGCAGUGAGGACAAAGAUUAUCAUACUCAUUGUUUGUCACACUCACUGUUUGUCUGUAGUUCACGUUGUGCUUUUGAGAUUUAUUUAGACAGACUGAUAGUGCAUAUUUUAAAGCUAUAAUAUGUGUUCCCACACAUACCUAAAGAAACUUCAAUAAUAUGCACACUUCUGUAUAAAAUUGUAGCCAACUAAGAAUCAUUAAAUGUCCUGGGAUGUACUUGAUAUAUAAAUAAACAUGAGAAGAUUAUGUAUUUUUUAUAUAUUCAUACUGUAUGUCUUAAGGCCUGUUAAAAAUAUAUUAAAAAUACAUAUUAAAUAUUACCUAUGGCUCAAUGAA
Molecule: long non-coding RNA, 1806 nt
Organism: Haemorhous mexicanus (house finch)
Lineage: Eukaryota; Metazoa; Chordata; Aves; Passeriformes; Fringillidae
Exons: 2
Source: RefSeq, a predicted model, not a curated record